GAUGAAGAACGUAGCGAAAUGUGAUAAGUAAUGCGAAUUGCAGAAUUCCAGUGAGUCAUCGAAUCUUUGAACGCACAUUGCGCCCUUUGGUAUUCCGAAGGGCAUGCCUGUUCGAGCGUCAUUAUCACCCCUCAAGCCCUCGGCUUGGUGUUGGACGGUUUGGUGGAGGCCCCCUCGGGGGCUCCUGCCCCUCCCAAAGACAAUGACGGCGGCCUCGUUGGACCCCCGGUACACUGAGUUCUUCACGGGACACGUAUCGGACACAUGGGUUUACGGGACACGGUCUGCCUCCCCUCAGGGAGAAUCUUUCUAAGGUUGACCUCGGAUCAGGUAGGGAUACCCGCUGAACUUAAGCAUAUCAAUAAGCGGAGGA
Molecule: unclassified non-coding RNA, 373 nt
Filed under: soil metagenome
Description: partial contains 5.8S ribosomal RNA, internal transcribed spacer 2, and large subunit ribosomal RNA
Rfam family: 5.8S ribosomal RNA (bases 1-121)
Source: RNAcentral